This is a non-coding RNA of Bactrocera oleae (olive fruit fly), 142 nucleotides long. NCBI's taxonomy places the organism in Eukaryota, Metazoa, Arthropoda, Insecta, Diptera, Tephritidae. The record is from RefSeq and is a predicted model, not a curated record.
UUAAUUAUCUUACUAUUGAAAUAGGAUAGGAAUGUAUAUGGGGUAAUUAGAAGAGUAGGGUGCAGUACAAGCGUAGGGCAGAAGCCGAAGUAUAAAAAGCAGUACAAAUAAAAAUACGAAUAAAGAAGAAAAAUAAACUUUA